RNAcentral lists this ribosomal RNA (253 nucleotides) under uncultured bacterium. RNAcentral's name for it is "partial 16S ribosomal RNA". It matches the Rfam family "Bacterial small subunit ribosomal RNA", at positions 524 to 776 of the family's 1533-position model. The record is from RNAcentral.
UACGAAGGGGGCUAGCGUUGUUCGGCAUUACGGGGCGUAAAGCGCACGUCGGCGGACUCUUAAGUCAGGGGUGAAAUCCCGGGGCUCAACCUCGGAACUGCCUUUGAUACUGUGAGUCUCGAGACCGGAAGAGGUGAGUGGAAUUCCUAGUGUAGAGGUGAAAUUCGUCGAUAUUAGGAAGAACACCAGUGGCGAAGGCGGCUCACUGGUCCGGUUCUGACGCUGACGUGCCAAGGCGUGGGGAGCAACCAGU